AGUGAACGCUGGCGGCAGGCCUAAUACAUGCAAGUCGAACGGCAGCACAGUGGAGCUUGCUCCAUGGGUGGCGAGUGGCGGACGGGUGAGGAAUACAUGGGAAUCUGCCCAGUCGUGGGGAUAACGUAUGGAAACGUACGCUAAUACCGCAUGCGCCCUUCGGGGGAAAGUCGGGGACCGCAAGGCCUGACGCGAUUGGAUGAGCCCAUGUUCGAUUAGCUAGUUGGCGGGUAACGGCCCACCAAGGCGACGAUCGAUAGCUGGUCUGAGAGGAUGAUCAGCCACACUGGAACUGAGACACGGUCCAGACUCCUACGGGAGGCAGCAGUAGGGAAUAUUGGACAAAUGGGCGCAAGCCUGAUCCAGCCAUGCCGCGUGAGUGAAGAAGGCCCUCGGGUUGUAAAGCUCUUUGUU
RNAcentral lists this ribosomal RNA (414 nucleotides) under uncultured bacterium. Its description in RNAcentral is "bacterial SSU rRNA". It matches the Rfam family "Bacterial small subunit ribosomal RNA", at positions 29 to 439 of the family's 1533-position model. The record is from RNAcentral.